AUCAUUUUGGUUAUUAUUUUAAUUCCCAUUGUUCAGUCAUUGUAGUACAAAAAGUUGUUUUAAGUAAUCGGGGCCGUUUUGACAGCUCAGAUCGAACCAAAAAUGGCCCAACCUAAAUCUAUCCAAACAUUUUUAUGCCCUGAUUCAGUAUUUUUGGGGUCAUUGUUGCACAAGAUUAGGUUCGACAUCAGCCGAAAUCACUUUUUUAAUGAUCCUUCCGCAGGUUCACCUACGGAAA
This 238-nucleotide unclassified non-coding RNA is filed under the name uncultured fungus. Its description in RNAcentral is "sequence contains ITS1". Lineage: Eukaryota; Fungi. The record is from RNAcentral.